AGAGUUUGAUCAUGGCUCAGGACGAACGCUGGCGGCGUGCCUAAUACAUGCAAGUCGAACGAGAGCGACCGGUGCUUGCACUGGUCAAUCUAGUGGCGAACGGGUGAGUAACACGUGGGUAACCUGCCCAUCAGAGGGGGAUAACAUUCGGAAACGGAUGCUAAAACCGCAUAGGUCUUCGAACCGCAUGGUUUGAAGAGGAAAAGAGGCACAAGCUUCUGCUGAUGGAUGGACCCGCGGUGCAUUAGCUAGUUGGUGAGGUAACGGCUCACCAAGGCCGUGAUGCAUAGCCGACCUGAGAGGGUGAUCGGCCACAUUGGGACUGAGACACGGCCCAAACUCCUACGGGAGGCAGCAGUAGGGAAUCUUCCGCAAUGGACGCAAGUCUGACGGAGCAACGCCGCGUGAGUGAAGAAGGUUUUCGGAUCGUAAAACUCUGUUGUUAGAGAAGAACAAGUGCUAGAGUAACUGUUAGCGCCUUGACGGUAUCUAACCAGAAAGCCACGGCUAACUACGUGCCAGCAGCCGCGGUAAUACGUAGGUGGCAAGCGUUGUCCGGAUUUAUUGGGCGUAAAGCGAGCGCAGGCGGUUCCUUAAGUCUGAUGUGAAAGCCCCCGGCUCAACCGGGGAGGGUCAUUGGAAACUGGGGAACUUGAGUGCAGAAGAGGAGAGUGGAAUUCCAUGUGUAGCGGUGAAAUGCGUAGAUAUAUGGAGGAACACCAGUGGCGAANGCGACUCUCUGGUCUGUAACUGACGCUGANGCUCGAAAGCGUGGGUAGCAAACAGGAUUAGAUACCCUGGUAGUCCACGCCGUAAACGAUGAGUGCUAAGUGUUGGANGGUUUCCGCCCUUCAGUGCUGCAGUUAACGCAUUAAGCACUCCGCCUGGGG
Molecule: ribosomal RNA, 890 nt
Filed under: uncultured marine microorganism
Description: bacterial SSU rRNA
Rfam family: Bacterial small subunit ribosomal RNA
Source: RNAcentral